CCCUUAGAUGUUCUGGGCCGCACGCGCGCUACACUGAUGAAUGCAACGAGCUCUACCCUUGACCGAAAGGCCCGGGUAAACUUGUGAAACUUCAUCGUGAUGGGGAUAGAUUAUUGCAAUUAUUAAUCUUCAACGAGGAAUUCCUAGUAAGCGCGAGUCAUCAGCUCGCGUUGAUUACGUCCCUGCCCUUUGUACACACCGCCCGUCACUCCUACCGAUUGAAUGGUCCGGUGAAAUCUUCGGAUUGCUGACCAAGAUCCAGCAAUGGAGCUUGGUUGCGAGAAGUUGAUUAAACCUUAUUAUUUAGAGGAAGGAGAAGUCGUAACA
Molecule: ribosomal RNA, 327 nt
Filed under: uncultured eukaryote
Lineage: Eukaryota
Description: partial 18S ribosomal RNA
Rfam family: Eukaryotic small subunit ribosomal RNA
Source: RNAcentral